This 2923-nucleotide ribosomal RNA is filed under the name Klebsiella pneumoniae. Its description in RNAcentral is "23S ribosomal RNA". It matches the Rfam family "Bacterial large subunit ribosomal RNA". The record is from RNAcentral. Lineage: Bacteria; Pseudomonadati; Pseudomonadota; Gammaproteobacteria; Enterobacterales; Enterobacteriaceae.
GGGUUGUGAGGUUAAGCGACUAAGCGUACACGGUGGAUGCCCUGGCAGUCAGAGGCGAUGAAGGACGUGCUAAUCUGCGAAAAGCGUCGGUAAGGUGAUAUGAACCGUUAUAACCGGCGAUGUCCGAAUGGGGAAACCCAGUGCAAUUCGUUGCACUAUCGUUAACUGAAUACAUAGGUUAACGAGGCGAACCGGGGGAACUGAAACAUCUAAGUACCCCGAGGAAAAGAAAUCAACCGAGAUUCCCCCAGUAGCGGCGAGCGAACGGGGAGCAGCCCAGAGUCUGAAUCAGCUUGUGUGUUAGUGGAACGGUCUGGAAAGUCCGACGGUACAGGGUGAUAGUCCCGUACACCAAAAUGCACAGGUUGUGAACUCGAAGAGUAGGGCGGGACACGUGGUAUCCUGUCUGAAUAUGGGGGGACCAUCCUCCAAGGCUAAAUACUCCUGACUGACCGAUAGUGAACCAGUACCGUGAGGGAAAGGCGAAAAGAACCCCGGCGAGGGGAGUGAAAAAGAACCUGAAACCGUGUACGUACAAGCAGUGGGAGCACCUUCGGGUGUGACUGCGUACCUUUUGUAUAAUGGGUCAGCGACUUAUAUUCUGUAGCAAGGUUAACCGUAUAGGGGAGCCGCAGGGAAACCGAGUCUUAACUGGGCGUUAAGUUGCAGGGUAUAGACCCGAAACCCGGUGAUCUAGCCAUGGGCAGGUUGAAGGUUGGGUAACACUAACUGGAGGACCGAACCGACUAAUGUUGAAAAAUUAGCGGAUGACUUGUGGCUGGGGGUGAAAGGCCAAUCAAACCGGGAGAUAGCUGGUUCUCCCCGAAAGCUAUUUAGGUAGCGCCUCGUGAACUCAUCUUCGGGGGUAGAGCACUGUUUCGGCUAGGGGGUCAUCCCGACUUACCAACCCGAUGCAAACUACGAAUACCGAAGAAUGUUAUCACGGGAGACACACGGCGGGUGCUAACGUCCGUCGUGAAGAGGGAAACAACCCAGACCGCCAGCUAAGGUCCCAAAGUCAUGGUUAAGUGGGAAACGAUGUGGGAAGGCACAGACAGCCAGGAUGUUGGCUUAGAAGCAGCCAUCAUUUAAAGAAAGCGUAAUAGCUCACUGGUCGAGUCGGCCUGCGCGGAAGAUGUAACGGGGCUAAACCAUGCACCGAAGCUGCGGCAGCGACACUAUGUGUUGUUGGGUAGGGGAGCGUUCUGUAAGCCUGCGAAGGUGUGCUGUGAGGCAUGCUGGAGGUAUCAGAAGUGCGAAUGCUGACAUAAGUAACGAUAAAGCGGGUGAAAAGCCCGCUCGCCGGAAGACCAAGGGUUCCUGUCCAACGUUAAUCGGGGCAGGGUGAGUCGACCCCUAAGGCGAGGCCGAAAGGCGUAGUCGAUGGGAAACAGGUUAAUAUUCCUGUACUUGGUGUUACUGCGAAGGGGGGACGGAGAAGGCUAUGUUAGCCGGGCGACGGUUGUCCCGGUUUAAGCAUGUAGGCUGGUUGUCCAGGCAAAUCCGGAUAAUCAAGGCUGAGGUGUGAUGACGAGGCACUACGGUGCUGAAGUAACAAAUGCCCUGCUUCCAGGAAAAGCCUCUAAGCAUCAGGUAACAUCAAAUCGUACCCCAAACCGACACAGGUGGUCAGGUAGAGAAUACCAAGGCGCUUGAGAGAACUCGGGUGAAGGAACUAGGCAAAAUGGUGCCGUAACUUCGGGAGAAGGCACGCUGGUGUGUAGGUGAAGUCCCUGCGGAUGGAGCUGAGACCAGUCGAAGAUACCAGCUGGCUGCAACUGUUUAUUAAAAACACAGCACUGUGCAAACACGAAAGUGGACGUAUACGGUGUGACGCCUGCCCGGUGCCGGAAGGUUAAUUGAUGGGGUUAUCCGUAAGGAGAAGCUCUUGAUCGAAGCCCCGGUAAACGGCGGCCGUAACUAUAACGGUCCUAAGGUAGCGAAAUUCCUUGUCGGGUAAGUUCCGACCUGCACGAAUGGCGUAAUGAUGGCCAGGCUGUCUCCACCCGAGACUCAGUGAAAUUGAACUCGCUGUGAAGAUGCAGUGUACCCGCGGCAAGACGGAAAGACCCCGUGAACCUUUACUAUAGCUUGACACUGAACAUUGAGCCUUGAUGUGUAGGAUAGGUGGGAGGCUUUGAAGCGUGGACGCCAGUCUGCGUGGAGCCAACCUUGAAAUACCACCCUUUAAUGUUUGAUGUUCUAACGUUGGCCCCUGACCGGGGUUGCGGACAGUGUCUGGUGGGUAGUUUGACUGGGGCGGUCUCCUCCCAAAGCGUAACGGAGGAGCACGAAGGUUAGCUAAUCCUGGUCGGACAUCAGGAGGUUAGUGCAAUGGCAUAAGCUAGCUUGACUGCGAGCGUGACGGCGCGAGCAGGUGCGAAAGCAGGUCAUAGUGAUCCGGUGGUUCUGAAUGGAAGGGCCAUCGCUCAACGGAUAAAAGGUACUCCGGGGAUAACAGGCUGAUACCGCCCAAGAGUUCAUAUCGACGGCGGUGUUUGGCACCUCGAUGUCGGCUCAUCACAUCCUGGGGCUGAAGUAGGUCCCAAGGGUAUGGCUGUUCGCCAUUUAAAGUGGUACGCGAGCUGGGUUUAGAACGUCGUGAGACAGUUCGGUCCCUAUCUGCCGUGGGCGCUGGAGAAUUGAGGGGGGCUGCUCCUAGUACGAGAGGACCGGAGUGGACGCAUCACUGGUGUUCGGGUUGUCAUGCCAAUGGCACUGCCCGGUAGCUAAAUGCGGAAGAGAUAAGUGCUGAAAGCAUCUAAGCACGAAACUUGCCCCGAGAUGAGUUCUCCCUGAGACUAUAAGUCUCCUGAAGGAACGUUAAAGACGAUGACGUUGAUAGGCCGGGUGUGUAAGCGCAGCGAUGCGUUGAGCUAACCGGUACUAAUGAACCGUGAGGCUUAACCUUACAACGCCGAAG